UACGGAGGGAGCGAGCGUUGUUCGGAAUUACUGGGCGUAAAGCGCACGCUAGGCGGGCUUUGUAAGCUCAGACGGUGAAAUCCCGGAGCUCAACCUCGGGAACUGCGUUUGAGAACUGGAUAGCUAGAGUGCUGUCAGAGGGGGGUGGAAUUCCGAGCGUAGAAGUGAAAUGCGUAGAUAUGCGGAAGAACACCGAUGGCGAAGGCAGCUCACUGGAACUAGCACUUGACGCUCAUGCUGCGAAAGCGUGGGGAGCAAACAGGAUUAGAUACCCUGGUAGUCCACGCCCUAAACGAUGUCAAACUGGCUGUUGGGA
RNAcentral lists this ribosomal RNA (316 nucleotides) under uncultured beta proteobacterium. Its description in RNAcentral is "bacterial SSU rRNA". It matches the Rfam family "Bacterial small subunit ribosomal RNA", at positions 524 to 828 of the family's 1533-position model. The record is from RNAcentral. Lineage: Bacteria; Pseudomonadati; Pseudomonadota; Betaproteobacteria.